AAAAAAAAAAAAAAAAAAAAAAAAUUUAAAAAAAAAAAAAAAUUGAAAAAAAAAAAAAAAAAAAAAAAAAAAAAAAAAAAAAAAAAAAAAAAAAAAAAACCAAAUAAAAAAAAAAAAAAAAAAAAAAAAAUUUAAAAAAAAAAAAAAAAAAAAAAAAAAAAAAAAAAAAAAAGAAAAAAAAAAAAAAAAAAAAAAAAAAAAAAAAUUUAAAAAAAAAAAAAAAAAAAAAAAAAAAAAAAAAAAAAAAACCAAAUAAAAAAAAAAAAAAAAAAAAAAAUAAAAAAAAAAAAAAAAAAAAAAAAAA
RNAcentral lists this unclassified non-coding RNA (304 nucleotides) under Athalia rosae (coleseed sawfly). RNAcentral describes it as "misc RNA ENSAEAG00005011340.1". Lineage: Eukaryota; Metazoa; Arthropoda; Insecta; Hymenoptera; Athaliidae. The record is from RNAcentral.